Molecule: RNA transcript, 1171 nt
Organism: Hibiscus syriacus
Lineage: Eukaryota; Viridiplantae; Streptophyta; Magnoliopsida; Malvales; Malvaceae
Gene name: protein MODIFIER OF SNC1 11-like
Exons: 7
Source: RefSeq, a predicted model, not a curated record
UCUGACUUCCUGCAUUUGUUUUCAAAGAUAUAUAUCAAUUCUUUCUUCCUUUGAAAGCCAUCAAGAAAAACAUAUCACCGCCUCACGCUAUUAGGUUUCAGCUCGUACGUUUUCUUCACGCGACCCUACCUAUCACUCUUAUGGCAUCCACCACCGACAAACCCAGCGCCUCCACCGCAGAAGCAAACCCUGGGAAGACCGUUGACGCACCCUCACCUUCAACGUACAAGUCAGACCCUCCUAGCAAUCUCACUCAUCCCGAUGCUGAACUUUCUGUGAAGGAGAGCGAGGAUUCGAAAACCUCCGGUACUGCUGCGGCCUUGGUUGCAGGGGAAAGCGGCGGUCCCGUGGACGAUGUCCAGAAGAAGAUUCGACGAGCUGAGCGAUUCGGCUUACCCGUCCAGUUAUCUGAGCAAGAGAAGCGUAAUUCUAGGGCUGAAAGGUUUGGCACUGCACCGAGCUCAAAUGGAUCAGAAGCAUCUAAGCAAUCAGAGGAAUUGAAGAGGAAGGCUAGAUCAGAGAGGUUCGGGAUUACUGCACCCGCUACAGCUACUGAUGAGGAGAAGAAGGAAGCUCGUCAUGCCAGAUUUGCACCAUAUUCCAAACCUGAUUCAGUAGAAGAAGAAAAAAGAAAAGCAAGGGCAAUCAGGUUUUCGAAUCCUGCUUCUAGUUCUUUAUCACAGGAGAAUGGCAAGGGAAAUCUUGAGCUAGAGGCUCCUAUUGAUGGAAAGGCUGGUGGAGAAAUCUAACUAGAAAUUGCCACAUAGUUAGAUGGUCUAAUGUUCUAACAGCUUGUGAUUCCCUCAACGGCUUCUUUACAAUGCUUUCUUUCCAACCUCAGAAUUCUUAGAUGCAGCAUUCCUUCAUCCCCAAAUAAAUUCUAAAGUAGUGAACUCUUUCUGCAGUAUGGAAGUGAACAGGUUUUAGGUGAGUGCUAGCUUCCCUCGGUCUGACCUUGUGAAUUCACUGAUCUGCAAGGUAAAUAUAUAUGCUGGGAAUGAAGGCUGUGUAAUGUUUUCUCGGUGUUUUUGUUAGUCAUGUAAUAUGUAUUUUUGGUUCACUACAAAUUAACAGUAGGAGCUUCUUUGGAAUCUGUUUUUUGGUUGGAUAUACUUUUACGGUAACGGGAGACCGGUUAAAUUGGGGGAAUUAAAUUGUCUAACGUUUUGUU